Non-coding RNA from Nemania abortiva, 86 nucleotides. The record is from the annotation of a GenBank genome assembly. NCBI's taxonomy places the organism in Eukaryota, Fungi, Ascomycota, Sordariomycetes, Xylariales, Xylariaceae.
GUUUCUGUGGGGUAAUGGUAGCCCGUGUGGACAUCCCUUCCGGGGGUGCUAUGCGCAAGACGCUGGUUCGACCCCGGCCAGAGACU